GCAAUGCUAGUUCACUGGUAGAAUUCUCACCUUCCAUGUGGGAAACUCGUGUUCAAUUCUCGGCAAAUGCA
RNAcentral lists this transfer RNA (71 nucleotides) under Loxodonta africana (African savanna elephant). It matches the Rfam family "tRNA". Rfam says of the family: Transfer RNA (tRNA) molecules are approximately 80 nucleotides in length. Their secondary structure includes four short double-helical elements and three loops (D, anti-codon, and T loops). Further hydrogen bonds mediate the characteristic L-shaped molecular structure. tRNAs have two regions of fundamental functional importance: the anti-codon, which is responsible for specific mRNA codon recognition, and the 3' end, to which the tRNAs corresponding amino acid is attached (by aminoacyl-tRNA synthetases). tRNAs cope with the degeneracy of the genetic code in two manners: having more than one tRNA (with a specific anti-codon) for a particular amino acid; and 'wobble' base-pairing, i.e. permitting non-standard base-pairing at the 3rd anti-codon position. The record is from Rfam by way of RNAcentral. Lineage: Eukaryota; Metazoa; Chordata; Mammalia; Proboscidea; Elephantidae.